Molecule: ribosomal RNA, 117 nt
Filed under: Candidatus Rifleibacteriota bacterium
Lineage: Bacteria; Candidatus Rifleibacteriota
Source: RNAcentral
CUUGGUGAUCAUAGCGCCGGGGAGACACCCGAUCCCAUUCCGAACUCGGCAGUUAAGCCCGGACGCGCUGAUGGUACUGCAUGGGCAGCUGUGUGGGAGAGUAGGUUGUUGCCAAGC